UUCAAUCUGUGAUUUAUCAAAGGAGUGGAUGAAAUCCCUAUGUUCCAGAGUCCUUAGCUUGGUAAAAUCGCACCCCCGGAUAAGUACAAUCACCAUCAUCGGAAUUGGCACUGGCACCGUUGUCUACCUUCUGUAUCGUAUUUGGAAAUCAAAAGGUAAGAAUUUCAAACAUCCUUGCU
Molecule: long non-coding RNA, 179 nt
Organism: Dermochelys coriacea (leatherback sea turtle)
Lineage: Eukaryota; Metazoa; Chordata; Testudines; Dermochelyidae
Exons: 3
Source: RefSeq, a predicted model, not a curated record